UACGUAGGGUCCGAGCGUUGUCCGGAGUUACUGGGCGUAAAGCGCGCGUAGGCGGCGGUGCUGGCCCGGCGUGAAAGCCCCCGGCUCAACCGGGGAGGGUCGUCGGGGACCGCACCGCUUGAGGGCGGUAGGGGCGGGUGGAAUGCCUGGUGUAGUGGUGAAAUGCGUAGAGAUCAGGCGGAACACCCGUGGCGAAGGCGGCCAGCUGGGCCGUCCCUGACGCUGAGGCGCGAAGGCGUGGGGAGCGAACGGG
RNAcentral lists this ribosomal RNA (253 nucleotides) under uncultured bacterium. RNAcentral's name for it is "partial 16S ribosomal RNA". It matches the Rfam family "Bacterial small subunit ribosomal RNA", at positions 524 to 776 of the family's 1533-position model. The record is from RNAcentral.